GACGAACGCUGGCGGCGUGCUUAACACAUGCAAGUCGAACGGAAAGGCCCUGCUUUUGUGGGGUGCUCGAGUGGCGAACGGGUGAGUAACACGUGAGUAACCUGCCCUUGACUUUGGGAUAACUUCAGGAAACUGGGGCUAAUCCCGGAUAGGAGCUCCUGCUGCAUGGUGGGGGUUGGAAAGUUUCGGCGGUUGGGGAUGGACUCGCGGCUUAUCAGCUUGUUGGUGGGGUAGUGGCUUACCAAGGCUUUGACGGGUAGCCGGCCUGAGAGGGUGACCGGCCACAUUGGGACUGCGAUACGGCGCAGACUCCUACGGGAGGCAGCAGUGGGGAAUAUUGCACAAUGGGCGGAAGCCUGAUGCAGCAACGCCGCGUGCGGGAUGACGGCCUUCGGGUUAUAAACCGCUUUCGCCUGUUACGAAGCGUGAGUGACGGUACUGGGUAAAGAAGCACCGGCUAACUACGUG
Molecule: ribosomal RNA, 468 nt
Filed under: uncultured bacterium
Lineage: Bacteria
Description: partial 16S ribosomal RNA
Rfam family: Bacterial small subunit ribosomal RNA
Source: RNAcentral